This 447-nucleotide long non-coding RNA is filed under the name Elaeis guineensis (African oil palm). RNAcentral's name for it is "long non-coding RNA (EGUI_LNC016783)". The record is from RNAcentral. Lineage: Eukaryota; Viridiplantae; Streptophyta; Magnoliopsida; Arecales; Arecaceae.
GGGCGGUUUUGAUCGGACUUUGAUCCGGCCCAAAUUCGGGCUUGGACCUGGAUCGGGCUAAAAGUCUGCUCGAGCACGGUCCGAAAAUAAAACGGGCCUUAUUUUUUGAUCCGAAUCCGGCCCGAAUGAUUUCGGACUGAGCCCAAAGCCCGAUCCAUAGCUGGCCUGACCCGAUGGAUUUCGAGCCGGCCCGAACCCACUUCCAGCCCUACCUAGGGGGCGUAUAUCGUACACUGCCAUAUGCCCCCAAUAUCUUCCCAAUAUUGCAAGUCUACAUCCCACAUAUCUUAUAGAUAUUCUAUAUGAUAAGAAACAAAUAGAGAAGGCUCACUUAGUAAGAAAAACAAGUACGUUAUAGCUGCUUGCACCGGUUUAAAAUCCAAAACUUAAUUGAUGAAGAUAACUUCAACAAAUCAUCUUACAAAGAAAACAUGACUUGCACAAAGC